Molecule: ribosomal RNA, 406 nt
Filed under: uncultured bacterium
Lineage: Bacteria
Description: partial 16S ribosomal RNA
Rfam family: Bacterial small subunit ribosomal RNA
Source: RNAcentral
AUUGAACGCUGGCGGCAGGCCUAACACAUGCAAGUCGAACGAGUGGCGGACGGGUGGGUAAUGUCUGGGAAACUGCCUGAUGGAGGGGGAUAGCUACUGGAAACGGUAGCUAAUAACGCAUACCAUCGGAUGUGCCGAGAUGGGAUUAGCUAGUUGGUGGGGUAACGGCUCACAAAGGCGACGAACCCUAGCUGGUCGGAGAGGAUGACCAGCCACACUGGAACUGAGACACGGUCCAGACUCCGACGGGAGGCAGCAGUGGGGAAUAUUGCACAAUGGGCGCAAGCCUGAUGCAGCCAUGCCGCGUGUAUGAAGAAGGUCUUCGGGUUGUAAAGUACUUUCAGCUGGGAGGCGUUACCCGCAGAAGAAGCACCGGCUAACUCCGUGCCAGCAGCCGCGGUAAUAC